AUUUUGUUGGUUUUCG
RNAcentral lists this microRNA (16 nucleotides) under Xenopus laevis (African clawed frog). RNAcentral describes it as "xla-miR-5151". The record is from RNAcentral. Lineage: Eukaryota; Metazoa; Chordata; Amphibia; Anura; Pipidae.